UUCCAGCUUCAAUAGAGACAUGUAUCCCAGCCCUUUCCCUACUUUCCUUCACAGAGAAAUACACAAACUGAGAGGCAGAAGAUUGUGUCUGAAUUUCAGCGACUGCGGCAGUUCCUGCUGGAGAAGCUGGACAAGGAGAUAGUGAAGAUAUAGAAUGAAAAUGUCAGUAAAGUAUCUGAGGAAAUUUCCUGUCUCAGUAACCUGAUCAGUGAGAUGGAAGGGAAGUGUCAGAAGCCAGUGACUGAAUUGUUGCAGGACAUCAGAAGCACCUUGAGCAGGUCUGUGAAGGGGAAGUUCCAGCAGCCAGAGGAGAUUUCUCCUAAGUUAGAAUUAAGACUCAGUGAUUUCUCCCAGAAAACUGUUGCUCUAGUGGAGACUCUCAGGAAGUUCAAAGGUACUGAGAAGGAAUCUAGGAGGGGAAAUUGGGAUGAGCCGCUGAGACUGUGGGAAUAGAAUGGGUCUGGCCAAUUGGUUGAUA
RNAcentral lists this long non-coding RNA (478 nucleotides) under Gopherus evgoodei (Goodes thornscrub tortoise). RNAcentral describes it as "lncRNA (ENSGEVG00005015806.1)". The record is from RNAcentral. Lineage: Eukaryota; Metazoa; Chordata; Testudines; Testudinidae.